This 1631-nucleotide long non-coding RNA is filed under the name Vigna radiata. RNAcentral describes it as "long non-coding RNA (VRAD_LNC018414)". Lineage: Eukaryota; Viridiplantae; Streptophyta; Magnoliopsida; Fabales; Fabaceae. The record is from RNAcentral.
GAAAAUUCAAAACCGUUUUUCAUCGAAGUUAUUCAAAUGCAAAAGGGAAACGACAUCACUGCUCCAGAUCGUUAUUGUCGUCAUUAUCUGUAUCUUAACCUCCACCACCAGAACCAUAUUUCUUUCCGAACACGAUGAGCUGAAGCUUAUCAUAACCAGCAAGCACUCCGGCACCUGCAACAGCACGUAAUAUGUUUGCACCGGCACCUUUAAAGAGUGACUUCGUACCCUCUUUUGCGAUAAUUAUCUUGAAUGCUUCCAAAGAACUCUUGUAUUUUACAGCUUCUCCAGAUGUCAUCAUCAUCCUUCUACGCACCGUAUCAAUGGGGUAAGAGGCCAAGCCAGCACCUAUAGUGAUUCCCCAUCCCAGAAGAAAACUUGCAAAGAAGCUAUCCUGUUAACCAGAAGAAUAACUAAGGUAAGUAAACAUAAGAACAUGUAGAAUAGCAUCAUUAGGAAACUGUUUAAACCAAAUCUGGUUAGGCAUAUCAACAAAUAUCUAGGAACCAGAAAACUAUGAGCAUAUAUGUAACAAGAACAUUUAACUAUAUUGCUUGUAUUACAAAAUAAAACUGAAAAACAUAAAUCAUACAAAACUGAAAUGAAGAUGAGUAGUUUUUACCAAGGUAAUAAAACAGACGAGAUUUCAAAUUCAAAUUUUAUAUUUACCUGCAGUCCACCGACCAAGACAACUGGUUUCAAAGAAUCAUACAUUCCAAAGUAAAGACCACGGUACACUAUGAUUCCAACACACGAGAUGUUGAAACCACGGUAAAGGCCAGCAAUACCAUCAGAUUUGAUGGUUUUCCUGUAAACAUCAACCAAGCCAUUGAACUGCCUCUCACCACCCUUCUUUGCAGCCUUUGCAUCAUUUGCUAGACGAGUUCGAGCAAAAUCCAGCGAAUAGACAAACAAGAGGGAGGAGGCCCCAGCAGCCCCACCAGACGCUAGAUUCCCAGCAAACCACUUCCAGUAGCCAUCCUUAUCUUUUUUGAAGUUGAAAAGCCUCUUGAAAUAAUCCUUGAAAGCAAAGUUCAGAGCCUGAAAAAAAAAUAACAAAAGAAAGCAUUACCGAUACAGUAAUAACAAAUAUAUACCGCAGACUAAACAGCAAAAUGCCAAACAUAAAUUUGCAUUCAUCACAUCAAAAUCAAAUAAAAGUAACAGGAGGGAUGCAAAUUAAAGAGAGAUAGGACUAGAAGUAUAUUCUAAAAUCCUUUCCCACAAAGCAUAAACUACUCUGAAAACAGAAUAACACUAUGAACAACACUCCAGAAAGACAAUGUGAAGAACAAAUAUGCAGAGAGCCACUGGGUUUGAUGUGUAGUUCAAAAAAAAUUUCUAUCCUGCAUAGAUCCAGGAAAAAUAUACUGGCACAUAUGUAGAGACACUACAUUCCAACUUCACAGGAAAGAAAAAUCACCUGAGUAGGGAAGUAUCUGAUAACAUUAGCCGUGUUUCCUCUCCAAAGAGCAAUCACCCCUUCAUCCUUCAUGGUUCGAGAGAAACAAUCACCAAUUCCCUUGUAAGGUUCAGACAACCGACCACUCUUGAUCAUUUCAUCCUGGUUUUGGAUGAGUAACUUGACUCGCUCAAUCGGAGCUGCAGCCGUCUUGGACACAGCAGCUGAC